GUCACUCGGUGUUCUCACCGAAAGCACGUAAUCGCCGGUGUAACUCAUGUUGGCUGGGGGGCCUCCCCGGCGCGCGGCAAAGCUGGGCCGCGCCCCG
Pteropus vampyrus (large flying fox) is the source of this 97-nucleotide non-coding RNA. The record is from Rfam. Lineage: Eukaryota; Metazoa; Chordata; Mammalia; Chiroptera; Pteropodidae.